AUGGAGGACAUGGUGGAUGAGUACUUAUAUCUAGUUGGUCAGGAACAUGAUAUUGGGUCAUGUUUUUACCUGAAAAGGGGCUUCAGAAAAUCCAGAUCUCUGCUUUCUAUGAACCAGUUGGCUUUCAAGGUGAAGGAAAUAGAGAAAGACCUUAGUCACCUAUCAGAGACAAACAAACGUUGGGUUCCCAUGACAAUCAGUGGGGUCAGCGGGGCCACCAGCAGCUGUGAUUACAUUGUCAAGAGGGGCCAAGAUCUAGCAAACAUUUCACGUUCCCUUGAUGAAGAAGAUCUUGUGGGGGUGGCUGAAAACAGAGAAAAACUUGGGCAGUGGUUGGCAGAUGAUGAUUUGGAAUGCUCGGUCAUAGCACUUCUUGGAAUGGGAGGACUUGGUAAAACAACUUUAGCUGCAAAUGUCUACAGGAAUGAGAGAAAGAAAUUCCAAUGCCAUGCCUGGGUCUCCAUCUCUCAAUCUUAUUCUAGAGAAGAUGUCUUGAGGAAUAUAUGUAAGGAACUUUUCAAAGAUGAUGUCAGUGUUCUAUCUAAAUCUGCAGCUAUGGAUAUCACAUGCCUUGAAGAGACACUGAAGAGUUUUCUGGAGCAACGAAAGUACUUGAUCAUAUUGGACGAUGUUUGGACUCCAGAAACAUUUGAUGAUUUGUCUAGGAUGCUUAUUCAUAAUGAUAAGGGAAGUAGACUGAUAAUCACAACAAGGGAAGGCGAUGUUGCUGCACUUGCCUCUCCAGGACAUAUCUUAACACUAGAAGCUUUACGAGAAGAUAAGUCAUGGGAUCUCUUUUGCAAAAAAACAUUUGCAAAAGAAACAAAUCAUGAUUGUCAUGCGGAGUUAAAGCCUUUGUCCAGGGAAAUAGUUAGCAGGUGUAAAGGCUUGCCUCUUGCUAUUGUGUCAGUUGCUAGCCUCUUGCGUGUGCGUGAGAAAACUGUGGAAGAAUUAAAUAACCAACUGAUCUGGGAGAUAAUGAAUAAUUCGAGGCUCGACCACAUAAGGAAUGUUUUGCAUCUGAGCUUCAUCUACCUUCCAACACACUUGAAAAGUUGUUUUUUAUACUGCAGCUUAUUUCCAGAAGACUAUCUUCUCAAAAGGAAACAACUUGUAAGGUUAUGGAUAGCAGAGGGGUUCAUCGAGGGGAGGGGUGAAAGCACAUUAGAAGAAGUAGCAGAAGGCUAUCUGAAGGAGUUGGUUGAUAGAAACAUGCUACAACUUGUCAAGAUGAACUCAUUUGGUAGGAUAAAAGAAUUCAAAAUGCACGAUAUAUUACGUGAAUUGGCAGUUGAUUUGUGCCAGAAGAACUAUUUUGGUGUUUCACAAGAGGCUAAAUGUGAGGGGUCUCUUGAGAUGGAUGGACGCCGAUUGAUGCUUGACAAAAUAAACAAUGAUGUUCAACAGUCAUUUUCUGGUUUACACCAACUUCGAAGUGUAAUUACAUCAGGCGAUAGUAAGUCACCAUUCACUCUACUACCCCUGCUAUGCAAGGAGUCAAGAUAUAUGACAGUGCUAGAAUUAAGUGGUAUACCCAUCAAGAAGAUUCCAGAUGCUAUUGGAUAUCUCUUUAAUCUCCGCCAUUUGGGUUUGCGUAAUUCAAAGGUGAAAAUGCUCCCGAGGUCUGUUGAGAAGCUUUCAAAUUUGUUGACACUAGACCUUUGUAAAUCUGACAUACAUGAGUUGCCUAGUGGGAUUGUGAAACUUAAGAAGCUCAGGCACUUAUUUGUUGAGAAAAUAAUGGAUCCAGAUUGGAGAAAUAUCAAUCAUCUCGGUGGUAUGUGUAUCCCCAAUGGACUCAGAAAUCUAACAAACCUGCAAACGCUACAAGCAUUAGAAGUACAGGAUGAGUCCCUUAGACAUCUAGGGGAGCUGAGGCAACUGAAAAGCUUGAGGUUAUUGAAUGUGAAGGGAAUCUACUGCGAAUGCAUCAGUGAAUCUCUAGUUCAAAUGCGGCAUUUGUCCUUGCUAUCUGUGAAUGCAAGUGACGGGAACGAGGUUCUCUUGUUGAAUGUUCUCCUGCCAAGCCUGCAAAAGCUAAGAUUGAGAGGACGGCUACUGGAAGGUGCGUUGGAUGAGUCUCCUCUCUUCCAAGCUGUCGGAGGGCAGAAUUUGUAUGAAUUAGUUCUAUCUUGGUCACAGCUGACAAAAGACCCCUUGCCGUCCCUUUCUCGGUUGUCAAGCUUGACACGUCUACAUUUCACUAGAGCAUACACCGGAGAGCAUCUGUCAUUUCUCACGGAGUGGUUUCCCAAGCUAAAGGUUCUCUCUCUGACAGACCUGCCUAAUUUGAAGCGUCUAGAGAUACAGCAAGGUGCCAUGGGGUCCCUGGAACAUUUAUUCCUAAUCAGACUCAGCAGCAUGACCGAGGUCCCACCUGGCAUUGAGUUCGUCAUGCCCCUCGAGUAUCUAGGCUUCCACGAAAUCACCGGCGACUUCUUGUCUCUGCUGCGCCAUUGUUCUGCGAUUCGAGGGACGAGGUUGAGGUACUCUCUGCGAGAUUGA
RNAcentral lists this ribosomal RNA (2505 nucleotides) under Triticum aestivum (bread wheat). RNAcentral's name for it is "partial small subunit ribosomal RNA". The record is from RNAcentral. Lineage: Eukaryota; Viridiplantae; Streptophyta; Magnoliopsida; Poales; Poaceae.